CUCGUAGGCGGUUUGUCGCGUCGGAUGUGAAAACUCGGAGCUUAACUCCGGGCCUGCAUUCGAUACGGGCAGACUAGAGUUCGGUAGGGGAGACUGGAACUCCUGGUGUAGCGGUGGAAUGCGCAGAUAUCAGGAAGAACACCGAUGGCGAAGGCAGAUCUCUGGACCGAUACUGACGCUGAGGAGCGAAAGCGUGGGGAGCGAACA
Molecule: ribosomal RNA, 207 nt
Filed under: uncultured bacterium
Lineage: Bacteria
Description: partial 16S ribosomal RNA
Rfam family: Bacterial small subunit ribosomal RNA
Source: RNAcentral